This 250-nucleotide ribosomal RNA is filed under the name uncultured bacterium. RNAcentral's name for it is "partial 16S ribosomal RNA". It matches the Rfam family "Bacterial small subunit ribosomal RNA", at positions 524 to 773 of the family's 1533-position model. The record is from RNAcentral.
UACGGAGGGUGCAAGCAUUGAUCGGAAUUACUGGGCGUAAAGGGCGCGUAGGCGGUUCGGAAAGUUAGAUGUGAAAUUCCAGGGCUCAACUCUGGAGCUGCAUUUAAAACUUCCGAACUAGAGUACAGUUAGGGAAAACGGAAUUCCACGUGUAGCGGUGAAAUGCGUAGAUAUGUGGAAGAACACCGGUGGUGAAGACGGUUUUCUGGGCUGAAACUGACGCUGAGGCGCGAAAGCAAGGGGAGCAAAC